GACGAACGCUGGCGGCGUGCCUAAUACAUGCAAGUUGAGCGCUGAAGGUUGGUACUUGUACCAACUGGAUGAGCAGCGAACGGGUGAGUAACGCGUGGGGAAUCUGCCUUUGAGCGGGGGACAACAUUUGGAAACGAAUGCUAAUACCGCAUAAAAACUUUAAACACAAGUUUUAAGUUUGAAAGAUGCAAUUGCAUCACUCAAAGAUGAUCCCGCGUUGCAUUAGCUAGUUGGUGAGGUAAAGGCUCACCAAGGCGAUGAUACAUAGCCGACCUGAGAGGGUGAUCGGCCACAUUGGGACUGAGACACGGCCCAAACUCCUACGGGAGGCAGCAGUAGGGAAUCUUCGGCAAUGGACGAAAGUCUGACCGAGCAACGCCGCGUGAGUGAAGAAGGUUUUCGGAUCGUAAAACUCUGUUGGUAGAGAAGAACGUUGGUGAGAGUGGAAAGCUCAUCAAGUGACGGUAACUACCCAGAAAGGGACGGCUAACUACGUGCCAGCAGCCGCGGUAAUACGUAGGUCCCGAGCGUUGUCCGGAUUUAUUGGGCGUAAAGCGAGCGCAGGUGGUUUAUUAAGUCUGGUGUAAAAGGCAGUGGCUCAACCAUUGUAUGCAUUGGAAACUGGUAGACUUGAGUGCAGGAGAGGAGAGUGGAAUUCCAUGUGUAGCGGUGAAAUGCGUAGAUAUAUGGGGGAACACCGGUGGCGAAAGCGGCUCUCUGGCCUGUAACUGACACUGAGGCUCGAAAGCGUGGGGAGCAAACAGG
RNAcentral lists this ribosomal RNA (765 nucleotides) under uncultured Lactococcus sp. RNAcentral's name for it is "bacterial SSU rRNA". It matches the Rfam family "Bacterial small subunit ribosomal RNA", at positions 28 to 776 of the family's 1533-position model. The record is from RNAcentral. Lineage: Bacteria; Bacillati; Bacillota; Bacilli; Lactobacillales; Streptococcaceae.